UACGUAGGGAGCGAGCGUUGUCCGGAAUUACUGGGUGUAAAGGGUGCGUAGGCGGCGAGUUAAGUCAGCGGUAAAAGCCCGGGGCUCAACCCCGACCUGCCGUUGAAACUGGCGUCCUUGAGUGGGCGAGAAGUAUGCGGAAUGCGUGGUGUAGCGGUGAAAUGCAUAGAUAUCACGCAGAACUCCGAUUGCGAAGGCAGCAUACCGGCGCCCCACUGACGCUCAUGCACGAAAGCGUGGGUAUCGAA
Molecule: ribosomal RNA, 248 nt
Filed under: uncultured Muribaculaceae bacterium
Lineage: Bacteria; Pseudomonadati; Bacteroidota; Bacteroidia; Bacteroidales; Muribaculaceae
Description: partial 16S ribosomal RNA
Rfam family: Bacterial small subunit ribosomal RNA
Source: RNAcentral